RNAcentral lists this microRNA precursor (175 nucleotides) under Dichanthelium oligosanthes. RNAcentral describes it as "MIR2118 microRNA precursor family". It matches the Rfam family "MIR2118 microRNA precursor family". The record is from Rfam by way of RNAcentral. Lineage: Eukaryota; Viridiplantae; Streptophyta; Magnoliopsida; Poales; Poaceae.
GCCAGGAAGAGGAAGAAAGAGAGGGCCUAAGAGUAGUGGGAAUGGGAACAUGGAGGAAAGCCCAACCUGUUUGUUUUCUCCUCCAGCAAUGGAGUGAAAGCUAAGCUUGGUUUGGUGUUUCCCAAUGCCUCCCAUUCCUAUCAUUCUUAAGCGCUCCUUCCUUUUCCCUUUGGCU